This 200-nucleotide ribosomal RNA is filed under the name uncultured bacterium KC418. Its description in RNAcentral is "partial 16S rRNA". It matches the Rfam family "Bacterial small subunit ribosomal RNA", at positions 267 to 484 of the family's 1533-position model. The record is from RNAcentral. Lineage: Bacteria; Pseudomonadati; Pseudomonadota; Alphaproteobacteria.
ACCGAGUCUACGAUCUAUAGCUGGUUUUAGAGGAUGAUCAGCAACACUGGGACUGAGACACGGCCCAGACUCCUACGGGAGGCAGCAGUGGGGAAUCUUAGACAAUGGGCGCAAGCCUGAUCUAGCCAUGCCGCGUGUGUGAUGAAGGUCUUAGGAUCGUAAAGCACUUUCGCCAGGGAUGAUAAUGACAGUACCUGGUA